This 447-nucleotide ribosomal RNA is filed under the name uncultured bacterium. RNAcentral's name for it is "bacterial SSU rRNA". It matches the Rfam family "Bacterial small subunit ribosomal RNA", at positions 355 to 825 of the family's 1533-position model. The record is from RNAcentral.
UGGGGAAUCUUGGACAAUGGGCGCAAGCCUGAUCCAGCCAUGCCACGUGGAUGAUGAAGGCCUUAGGGUUGUAAAAUCCUUUCGUUGGGGACGAUAAUGACGGUACCCAAAGAAGAAGCUCCGGCUAACUUCGUGCCAGCAGCCGCGGUAAUACGAAGGGGGCUAGCGUUGUUCGGAUUUACUGGGCGUAAAGCGCGUGUAGGCGGAUUUGUAAGUUGGGGGUGAAAUCCCGAGGCUCAACCUCGGAACUGCCUCCAAAACUACAAGUCUGGACCUAAGUAGAGGCAAGUGGAAUUGCGAGUGUAGAGGUGAAAUUCGUAGAUAUUCGCAGGAACACCAGUGGCGAAGGCGACUUGCUGGACUUAUGGUGACGCUGAGACGCGAAAGCGUGGGGAGCAAACAGGAUUAGAUACCCAGGUAGUCCCUGAGCGGGCUGGCAAGGCGCAU